CACGUAGGGGGCAAGCGUUGUCCGGAUUUAUUGGGCGUAAAGAGCUCGUAGGCGGUUCGGCAAGUCGGGUGUGAAAUUUCGAGGCUCAACCUCGAAACGCCACUCGAUACUGCUGUGACUGGAGUCCGGUAGAGGAGUGCGGAAUUCCUGGUGUAGCGGUGAAAUGCGCAGAUAUCAGGAGGAACACCAAUUGCGAAGGCAGCUCGCUGGGACGUUACUGACGCUGAGACGCGAAAGCGUGGGGAGCAAACAGG
RNAcentral lists this ribosomal RNA (254 nucleotides) under uncultured bacterium. RNAcentral's name for it is "partial 16S ribosomal RNA". It matches the Rfam family "Bacterial small subunit ribosomal RNA", at positions 524 to 776 of the family's 1533-position model. The record is from RNAcentral.